UGUUCUCAAACAAUGUCCAAGAAAUGUUUUCCUGUGUUUCUUGGUGGAAGCUCUGUACCUCACGGUGUUGGAACCAGCGUUUCUCAAAGAUGAAAAUUAAUUUAGAAUCAAUCUUGCCUGGACUUGAAGGCCACAUGCAUAUUUUAAUGACCACAAAAUUAACAGUCAUGAUAGAUCACUUAGAUGUGUCCAUUUAUUCUGACUGUGUAACUGUGUCUUGUUCUUGAAGGGCCUGCAACCAUUUAAGAUGCACGUCUUGUGAUUUCAGUGUAAUUAUGUUUGAGAAUCACGAGUGGGACUCCUCCUGUGACUAUUUAUUUUUCAGGAAUAACAUGCCAGAAUAUCACAAACUAAAAGCCAAACUAAGAAGGAGAAGGGGUGGGCGUGCAGACGCCGGUCAAUGUAGCUGGCACUUGACCCUGAUACUCUCAGACCUGAGGGAGCAACAGCAGCUAAAGUGGGUUUGUGGCAAACACAAAGAAUGAACACAAGUCUGCAACAAGUUCUCUGAAAUCUUAUCCGUGUCCACAAGCAAGUGUUGCAUGCUCUCUCCUCACAAAAGAAAAUGCUGGCUAUUUUCAAAAUUUGCUUUGUGCAGUUUGUGGGGCUGGAUAACAAAAAUAAGUUUUAUGUUCUUUACUGAGUGUAGUGUGUGUGUGUGUGUGUGUGUGUGUGUGUGCGAAGUAAUUGUAAAUCUCUUUACCGAUGCCACAUUCUCCCUUACAGUGAUGAAGCACUGUGGCUGAUU
This is an RNA transcript of Carassius carassius (crucian carp), 748 nucleotides long. It is a transcript of the gene named cilia- and flagella-associated protein 418-like, with no coding region annotated. The record is from RefSeq and is a predicted model, not a curated record. The transcript is spliced from 3 exons. NCBI's taxonomy places the organism in Eukaryota, Metazoa, Chordata, Actinopteri, Cypriniformes, Cyprinidae.